AUGGAGGUGAUGGUCUAGUGGUUAAGCAUUGGGCUUGAGACCAGAGGAUCCUUGGUUCAAAUCCCAGCCUGACUGGAAAAUCACUAAGGGCCCUUGGGCAAGGUCUUUAAUCCCCCAUUGCUCCUGGUGUGUAGUGAGCGCCUUGUAUGGCAGCACCCUGACAUCGGCGUGAAUGUGAGGCAUUAUUGUAAAGCACUCUGAGCGUCUGAUACAGAUGGAAAAGGGUUAUA
This is a long non-coding RNA of Thalassophryne amazonica, 230 nucleotides long. RefSeq lists it as uncharacterized. NCBI's taxonomy places the organism in Eukaryota, Metazoa, Chordata, Actinopteri, Batrachoidiformes, Batrachoididae. The transcript has 2 exons. The record is from RefSeq and is a predicted model, not a curated record.